Molecule: ribosomal RNA, 479 nt
Filed under: uncultured bacterium
Lineage: Bacteria
Description: partial 16S ribosomal RNA
Rfam family: Bacterial small subunit ribosomal RNA
Source: RNAcentral
ACGAACGCUGGCGGCGCGCCUAACACAUGCCAGUCGAGCGAUGAAAUUUUAACCGAUCUCUUCGGAGAGAAGCUAAAAUGGAUUAGCGGCGGACGGGUGAGUAACACGUGAGAAACCUGCCUUUCACAAGGGGAUAGCCUCGGGAAACCGGGAUUAAUACCCUAUGACACAUUUCCUUCGCAUGGAAGAAAUGUUAAAACUCCGGUGGUGAAAGAUGGUCUCGCGCCUGAUUAGCUAGUUGGUGGGGUAACGGCCCACCAAGGCCAUGAUCAGUAACCGGCCUGAGAGGGUGAACGGUCACAUUGGAACUGAGACACGGUCCAAACUCCUACGGGAGGCAGCAGUGGGGAAUAUUGCACAAUGGAGGAAACUCUGAUGCAGCGACGCCGCGUGAGCGAUGAAGGCUUUCGAGUCGUAAAGCUCUGUCCUAUGGGAAGAUAAUGACGGUACCAUAGGAGGAAGCCCCGGCUAACUACGUG